Caretta caretta (loggerhead turtle) is the source of this 1613-nucleotide long non-coding RNA. RefSeq lists it as uncharacterized. NCBI's taxonomy places the organism in Eukaryota, Metazoa, Chordata, Testudines, Cheloniidae. The record is from RefSeq and is a predicted model, not a curated record.
CAUAGCAUAAAGAGCAGGAAGAGUAUCGUCCUUGACUGUUCUAGAUAUAAUAUUUUGACCUUGACUGUUCUGCUUUGCCCCCACUUGGGGAUGAUAGAAUCUUUUCAGACUGCAAGGAAAAGCCUUCAGAGCUGUCACACUUCUUUGUCCCUGGGAGACACUGGUACAAAACUGGGUUCUUGUGACUUUCUAUUCUUCCUUUAGCUGCCACCUUCAUGCUGAGCAAAGUGUAGGCUCCGGCUGGCCAUCUCCAUGCCACACUGUAGUGUUGUGGAGUUUCUGCUUGGUGAAUCUUCCCCUGCACUAAGACUCUGUAUGGGGAGCCUGGCCUGUGUCUCUGCGAUUGCCCUGGUCUGGUGAUGCCAUCCUUCGUCUCUACAAAGGCAGAGAUGAUCUGCUGUGGAAUUUUGCCUAUAGACCAGAUGUGGGACCACGUUCCACCUAUCUAAUAUCCUUUGCUCGGGGUUUGGAUAUUAUGAUCGUAGAUUCACACACUUUCCCAUCUGGAUCUGGUCUGUAAAUAAUCUGAAUUGAUUCAAGUCUCUCUACUUAAAUUUAGUAUUGUUCCUAAAUAUGCUUUCCAUGCAGGAAGUUCUUUUUGGCUCUUUCCCUACACAGACCAGUCCUAAUCUUGUCACUGUCUGUCACCAUACCCUUCACAAGUUCCUUUAAAUGUAGCAUUCUCUUACUUGUGAAUUAUCUUGGCCAGUCCGUCUUACAGAACAAUAAAAAUUCUUCCUCCCGGAAAUGUACUUUCUCUCCCCUAAGGUAAUUCAUAGACUAUAUAUCAACUCCAGCUUUCCCACACACAACGUUGUCUUUUACCUGGUGAACGCACUAGCAUGCCGUAAGACAAUGGUCAGGCUGCCAGUGGGCUGUGCACACUGCACACACUGCUUAUGCUGACAAAUGAUGUUUCAUUGUUAUUGUGGUCCCCCAUCUGCCUUUAUCCACCUGUUGUCUCUUGUCUCUGACAGAAUGUACCCCUGUAUUCACACCUUAUUGUAAUAAUUUUUGUACAGAGUAUGCCUUGUAAGGUAUUGUUUGAAAACUCAUAAUUUUCUGAUCAUUAUUGUCUUGGUAAAAUAUGUUUGUGGCAACACUGUAUGUGAGUUAUAAGAUUCCACUGUAUGGUGUUAACAAUGCAUGUUCUAAAUCCCAGAGCCCUGUCCAACCUGAGGUUGGCAAACAGGUCUGCCCUAAACAAAAAAAAAGUGCACUCUGCUUAAUUUGCAUUUAAGCAGUAAACAGAGUCAUCAAGCAGAAAGGGAAACAAAGCGCAAACCGGUGAGGGGGAAAAGCAGCAGAGAACAUUCUUCCAUAUAGAUUCUUUGUCUCCUGGUGUCCAGCUGGGAAUGUUUUUCAGGAGAGGGACUGAAACUAUAAAAUGGAGGGACAAACACCCCAAGGCCCCCCCCCACCCUCUCCCUGCCCAUCGCAUUCACUGCGCCUGAAGUGACCAAGGAAGAAAGCAUUGGACUCUGGAGAAGGACCCCUCACCUAUGGGGUUGGGUGAGUCAGACUGCAGAAAGCAUCUGGUGAGAAAUUUUGCUUGAAUGUGAUAUAGUUUAAGUUAUGUGUUAAUAAACGUCUUAUCUUUAUUUUUCUUCUAA